CGGGAAAUAGCUCAGCUUGGUAGAGCACUUGGUUCGGGACUAAGAGGUCGUAGGUUCAAUUCCUAUUUUCCCGA
This 74-nucleotide transfer RNA is filed under the name Apilactobacillus micheneri. RNAcentral's name for it is "Lactobacillus micheneri tRNA-Pro". It matches the Rfam family "tRNA". From Rfam's summary of the family: Transfer RNA (tRNA) molecules are approximately 80 nucleotides in length. RNAcentral also lists the same sequence under 1 other name. Lineage: Bacteria; Bacillati; Bacillota; Bacilli; Lactobacillales; Lactobacillaceae. The record is from RNAcentral.